Non-coding RNA from Pelobates cultripes (western spadefoot toad), 596 nucleotides. NCBI's taxonomy places the organism in Eukaryota, Metazoa, Chordata, Amphibia, Anura, Pelobatidae. The record is from the annotation of a GenBank genome assembly.
AAAGACAUGCACCUGAAGAAGACCGUCAGUGGUUGAAACGCGUUGUGCUUCCAGUUUUAUCACUAAGUUUGUUGUGUUUGUAAAUACAUGUAAUAAAGUAUUAUAUUUAGCUACUUAUUGAUUCCUGAACUUCAGUUCUGGAGAGUUACCACGCUGGGACCUUCUACACAACACCAUUCUGAGUGGGGAUAUCAUAUCUACUGAGUUCAGAGCCGACCUGAUGGACUCUUGAAUAUGUGAGUAUCCUUUAUAUUUUCUGUACGGAUACCACUUUAUACAGCUAUGUCUAUGUCGCUUUUAUGUUUUUCUGAACAGGCUAUAUUCCAUUUACUGCUGCUAUUGUGAAAUACCUUUACCAUCUGUGCACUGUCACCUUAUAAAGAAAGUUAAUAUAAACAAAGCUCCAGGGCCUGACGGUGUUCAUCCACGAGUACUUAAGGAACGAAGUGUGGAAAUAAUUGAAUAAGUGAGUUUUUAAUCUUUCAAGAUUCUUUUCUUUCAGGAAGAGGUCCGGAUUGGAGGAAGGCAGAUGUGGUUCCUAUUUUCAAAAAGGGCUAAAAAUCCUUGCCUGGAAAUGAUUCAUCUGUGAGCUUAAC